Molecule: long non-coding RNA, 1585 nt
Organism: Lemur catta (Ring-tailed lemur)
Lineage: Eukaryota; Metazoa; Chordata; Mammalia; Primates; Lemuridae
Exons: 3
Source: RefSeq, a predicted model, not a curated record
CUAACUCCACCUAGACAGCAUGGGCAGCUUGAGGAUGGACAAAUGUCACCCCUCACAGUUUCUUCAUCUUCAGCUGAAGAAGUUGAGCCAGCUGGUGACUAAAUCCCUCACUGCUCCAGCAGUGUGUGUGUACGGGGGUGUGGAAAUCCUUCUUACGGGAAGUACAGUGAUGGCGUUGAUCCUGGAACCGGACUAGCUGUGGACUCAAAGACUUAAGUUGAUGCUUACUGUGAACGAGGAUUAUUAUUGUGCCACCUCCGUGAUUUCAGCUGAUAGUGCCAGUUACACUGGCCCCUUUGUGGUUCUUUGUGACCUUAUUUAUUAACUUGGUACCUGAAACCCUCUGUACCUCCUUAGAAGAUGGAAGCAGUUAAUCCUUCAUCCAUCAGUCACUCAUGGCCAUACCACAGGUGCUAUGCAAACACAGUGACGUCCUCAUGUAUGAGGAGGCCUUUGACACGACAGAGCAUAUGACAACACACACUCAGGCCGUGUCUCUUUGGUAUUGUCCCUGUGGAGGCCGACUUUCCUUCUCACUGCAUCUGAGUAAGACUUCCCACUCCUGUCAGGGGGCAAUCAAAGCUGGAAACUGGCCUCGCCUGGGCCUUCGGUUCCAGCCCAUCCAGAAGCCGUGGAGGGCGAAUCCCUAAAGCUUCGCUCAGUAUUGUAAAGGCACUCCAGCUUCCUCCAGAGUCACUCUAAAUUCCUCAGGUUUCUUUGUGACUGGCUUCCUGGAGAAGAGAAGAAACCCAGAACCUCACUGAGGGUGUCUGACCUGAAAGCGAGUUGCUGUCCACUACGUAUGAGAGUGAAAGAAGAGCAGUAAGGGGCUCAUUCCCAAGAUCAUAGCGCCGGCAAGGACCCCAGGUCUUGGGUUGUGGUGCUAAAAACAGGCCUUGUCAUGACAGGAACUUCUACUGCCUUCAGCCUUACCAGACAGAGGAGGGUUAAGGAAGGAACUGCUGGCCCUAAUACACAAACUGCCACAGAAGCGGAAGUGCCUUCCUGCUUUUCUAUUAGCGCCAGAUGGCUGGAGAUGGCUGUGAGGCUGACGCAAUUAAUAUUUCUUUUCCAGGGCCGGGGUGCUGGUUGGGAGCACCAGACAAGUUAACCAGCAGAUUAAACAGUGAUGGAGGAAGAUGUGUUUAUGGGCCUCAUUGGGAACAGAAGGAAGAAUGAACAAUUUCAAGGUGGAGGAAAAUUUAGCAAGUCUUCUAAUCCAUGUUUCAGCCCUCACUUACCAUAACCUCAGAAGAAAGUUGCUUUUCCUGUUCCUUAAAUGAAUUCCUUGGACUCACACUCCAUUUCUUUGAAUUUGCACAGACUGUUGAGGAGCAGGUAGCUGGCAGCAGCAGCCCUACCUCUGCUCAAACAAGCCUCAGAGAGAAUAUUACAGAGAAGACUGGGGGAAGAGGUCCUGGAACUUGGGGGUCCCCUUUCCUCUCUGCCCACUCAGUUCUCAAGUGGCAGCUGUGCUACAGUGGAGACCACUGAGUUUAGACUUGGAAGAUCUGGGUUUGCAUCUAACUCCACUUCUUACUUGCAAGUCACUUACUUCACUAGGCCUCAGUCACCUGGACAAUAA